Molecule: long non-coding RNA, 1503 nt
Filed under: Mus musculus (house mouse)
Lineage: Eukaryota; Metazoa; Chordata; Mammalia; Rodentia; Muridae
Description: long non-coding RNA chr2:164525888-164527391
Source: RNAcentral
GGACGUAGUUCAGCAGCCAUUAAGGGGUUAAUUAUCCAUCCUGGUGUCAUUGAUCCUGACUAUAAGGGAGAGGUUAAGAUCAUGGUUUCCUCCCCCAGAGAGAUGUCUGCCAUUUCCCCGGGAGAUAGAAUUGCUCAAAUUUUGCUUUUGCCUAGUCACCAUGCUAGCUUCCCUUCAAGUGGACUGAAAAGAGGAAAUUGGGGCUUUGGCUCCACUGAAAUACAAAUUUGAAAGCUGGUAUCCUUAUGGUUAAUCAAAGAGUGGAUUGGUUGCAGGAACAGAUGAAUAUUUUGGAGCAGUUAGUAUUUGCUUCCUGUAUUACUCAUAUGGCAGGAAUGUGUGUAACCUCUGUUCAGUAUCAGAAUUUUCCAGAGCUGCAAAUCUGUUGCGUGCAAUUGGUGCGAUGCUGCUAGGAAAUUGGAGUCAUGAUCUCGACACAAAGAUGAAGGAAUUGCGAGCAUCGAUUGUUGCCAUGAACAACACCUGUGUGGAGAUUGCAACUGCAAAGCAAUGGCUGGAGAUCAUCCAGGGAACUGUGGGAUUCUUAAAAAAUUGGGGAGGGAUGGCCUUUUGAGCGUUCCUGUUGACUGUUGUGUGUGUAGGAAUGCUUUGGUGGAUGGCACGUAUGCGAAGGUGGCACAGGGCUGAUAUGCUUAGUGCAGGCUAUGGCAGCCUUGGAAGCAGGAACAUCCCCCCAAUGUUGGCUCAACAUGCUGAAUCAGUAAUCAAUGACAGGUAAGACCCUCACGUGCGCAUACCAACCUAAGACAGGAUGGCGAAAGUGAGUUUGUCACUCCCAUAACAGGUAAGGAUGUGGCACAGAUGGGGGCAACCUAAGACAGAUGCUGAUCCCAGAGCUACUACUAAAACAAAAAGGGGGAGAUGCGGGAAGCGGGUGCGGCCGCAUGGGCCAAGAUGGCACUCUGGCCCAUUGCCAGGCCCGGUGAACCCCAUAUGUUUACUGCCUUGCCCAAGCAUGCGCAGUGAAAAAGCAUGAAUAUUCCUCGUGACCCGGAUCUGUCAGCCUAUCUGUGACUGACCUGAGCUCGUGCCUGGAGCAUGUGUGAUUCUGAUUGGAUGAGGUGGUGUGGAGCGAGAUGAGGUCAGUUGCUGCGAAUAUAGGAGAAUGGCGCUUGCUGCAAGAAGGACAGGGGGAAGAAGCUGCUGGGGGAGAGAGCUGGAAGUGAAAAAGCUGCUGCGUGAACCCGCCUUGGUGUCCGUGUUGUUCUUGUCUCUGCGGAUCGGAGACUGUGGCAGUUCAGCCUUUGUGGCAAGCCUCUUUUCUCCUAUUCCCUGAGCAGGCUCGUCAGCUGUCUUUAUUUAGUUUUUUGAGCUGCAGCUAGAGGCAGGAUGUAAAGAAGCAUGAAGAAGGUUUGAGGCUUUCAUCGCAAUGUUCCAUUACCCCAGGGAGACAGCCAAAUUGAAGGAGACAGAGUGUUUUCUCUCCUCUGAAAGCGGGGGCUCUUCAGAAUUUCAUUUUGCAAACAUCCAUGAGAGAGAGCA